RNAcentral lists this ribosomal RNA (440 nucleotides) under uncultured bacterium. RNAcentral describes it as "partial 16S ribosomal RNA". It matches the Rfam family "Bacterial small subunit ribosomal RNA", at positions 338 to 795 of the family's 1533-position model. The record is from RNAcentral.
CCUACGGGUGGCAGCAGUGGGGAAUAUUGCACAAUGGGGGAAACCCUGAUCCAGCGACGCCGCGUGAGUGAAGAAGUAAUUCGUUAUGUUAAGCUCUAUCAGCAGGGAAGAAAAUGACGGUACCUGAGUAAGAAGCCCCGGCUAACUACGAGCCAGCAUCCGCGGUAAUACGUAGGGGGCAAGCGUUAUCCGGAUUUACUGGGUGGAAAGGGAGCGUAGACGGCAGUGCAAGUCUGGAGUGAAAGGCGGGGGCUCAACCCCCGGACUGCUGUGGAAACUGUACGGCUGGAGUGCAGGAGAGGUAAGUGGAAUUCGUAGUGUAGCGGUGAAAUGCAUAGAUAUUACGAGGAACUCCAGUGGCGAAGGCGGCUUACUGGACUGUAACUGACGUUGAGGCUCGAAAGCGUGGGGAGCAAACAGGAUUAGAUACCCCUGUAGUC